This 2121-nucleotide ribosomal RNA is filed under the name Triticum aestivum (bread wheat). Its description in RNAcentral is "partial small subunit ribosomal RNA". Lineage: Eukaryota; Viridiplantae; Streptophyta; Magnoliopsida; Poales; Poaceae. The record is from RNAcentral.
AUGAGCCCGCUAAGGGAUACUGCGCAAGUUGGAGAGGGCAGUCUGAUCCAAAAACAAAGCUUGCAGGCCGUCCAAGAGCUGUGGAACGAAUGGGAGAUCCAUUGCCUCAUACUUGCAAGCUUUGGCCUACAAAUAUUCCUCUUCUUCGCAGCAGGCAUGCGGAGGCACAGUGUGUCCCGCAUCCUCAACUCCCUUAUAUGGUUGGCCUACUUAUCGGCUGACUCUGUGGCCAUUUUUGUUCUCGGACAUCUCGCUGUCCAUGCAAGCAGCUCACACCCUCUUCUUAUCUUUUGGGCGCCGUUCCUGCUCCUCCACCUAGGAGGGCCGGACACUAUCACUGCCUUCUCCGUGCAAGACAAUGAGUUGUGGCAACGCCACCUACUAGGAUUGGUCACCCAAGCAUCAGUGGCCGGCUAUGUAAUCUCCAUAUCGUCUUGGCAAGACAACCGGCUUCUUGCUGCCACGGUGCUCAUGCUCUUGUGUGGGGUUUUCAAGUACAUAGGGCGGACCCUUUGCCUUUACACAUCUAGACCAAAGUUCCUCAAGUAUGCUAUGGUGCCUAAUUUGGAUAGAUAUGUACGCGGUGUGUAUUAUAUACCAGGUAUUUCGGGGAGGAGAUCUUUUGAGGAUAUACUGAGGCGAAGAGUGCAUGAUAUGAUUCUUAAUGAUGUCGACGUGAAGCUACCACCCGCUUCCCCUUUCUCAAGUAUACUAUUGGAUACUCCACUCAAUGAUAUGGCUACAGUUGAAGGUGCAGCUAUCAUACCAGAUUUGCUCAAUGUGCUCAAGUCUAGUGCAGACCGCUCCAGGGCCUACAUUUAUGUCAGCAGAGUGCUCGUUCGUGUUUAUGAACGCAUCUACACCAAGGAUGUGCUUCAAUUUGGGUGGAUUUAUGAUUUCAAAACAGUAAUGUCCCAAGAUUCCGAGGGCAGAAUAAUAAGCCUAGUGCAACUUCACAUUGUAUCAUUUCUCUUGCUCUUCCCUCUUAUUUCGGCCUUGAUAACAUUGGAGCUAUUUAUGCUUGCCGAAAAGAUCCAGCUCUAUAGCCAUACCGAUGUCAGAGUCUCCUACAUAUUACUCAUAGGAGCCAUAAUCCUUGAGGUGGCAUCCCUCUUCAUGUCCAUUCUUUCCUGCUAUGCAUCGAGUGAAGCGCCAACAUCUUGCCCACCACCCCCCUCUGUGGUCUUGCAUGUAGCCAACUAUAUUCACCCCACAGGCCUACAUAGAAAGCACUGGUCCAAAAUGCUUGCACAACAUAACAUGUUUGAAUGUUACACCAGACAAAAAUCUACGAGCAUCAUGUCAGUUGUAUCACAGUGGAUUGGUGAGACAUUUACAAGAAUUGCCAUCAGUAAAGAUCUUGAGGAGUUUGUCCUAGGAAAACUAUUAGACUUGGGAACUGGGGAGCAAGGAGGCUGGAACUUUGCUAGCUUUCGUGGACAGCUAGCGCUUCAGAGCUGGACCACUAUGCACACAAUCAUUGACACUGCUGAUCUACCAACAAGUGUGCUGAUCUGGCACAUUGCAACGGAGAUAUGCUACUUUGGAGAAGAAAGCAACACCACUAGUCAUCAAGUUCAGGUGAUGAUAAGGGUGGGCAGAGAACUAUCAAACUAUAUCAUGUAUCUCGUCUUCACGUGCAGUGUAAUGCUUACAGGCAGCUCCAAGCUCGUAUAUGUUAACACUCAUAAGGAAAUCAAUAAUGUUCUUGGAGGAAAUGGUAAUCUAGCUAUUAAAGAAGCUAUUAGGACAAUGAUUCGACGUAUCGGAGAAAGGGGACCACCAGUCAAUCAAGUUUCUUUUAUUGAUCAUACCGACGUUCUUGCUGACUACAACAACCAAUUGGGAACUCAAGUGCAACUUCUGAAAGACAAUAUAAAGGCUCUUGAUUCACCGGUUUUGCCUCGUGCACGUAUAGUGGCUUGUCAUCUGACCGACAUGCCCGAAGAUGACCGAUGGAAACUCAUUGCGGAGGUAUGGCUGGAGAUGCUAUUCUACAUCGCGCCUCGAUGCGGGGGUGCUUUCCAUGCCAAACAUCUCAGUACUGGCGGGGAGUUUGUCACGCAUGUCCUCCAACUCAUGCGUUUGUUAGGCCCUUUUCUACCACCACCGAAUGCUUAG